This is a non-coding RNA of Monodelphis domestica (gray short-tailed opossum), 489 nucleotides long. The record is from the annotation of a RefSeq genome assembly. Lineage: Eukaryota; Metazoa; Chordata; Mammalia; Didelphimorphia; Didelphidae.
GACCAGUGACCCUAUAGACUGAGCAAGUGCUGUGUAUACAGUAGGGAAGGAAUCAGGAUCUUACAGUCCUUUUGGAGCAAGAUGUUGUACCAGACACCCAUCAUCUGGUUCUUUGCAUUCUGGAUUCCAGAUGCCUGGGGGAUCGUUGAUCUGACUCAGUCUCCAAUCACACUGUCUGUAAAUUUGGGACAGACUGUCACCAUCACUUGUAGAACCAAUAUCAUCAUUGACCAGUGGUUAGGUUGGCUUCAGAAAAUACCUGGACAACCCUUUAGGAUGCUGAUUUAUGAUGCCACCAAACGCAACCAUUGGACUCCUGAUCGGUUCGUGGGCAGUUGGUCAGGCAAAGAUUUCCACCUCACCAUCAAUGGGGUGGAAGCUGAAGACAUAGGAUAUUAUUAUUGUUACCAUCAUGAUACAAGGAAAUUGCCGUCACAGAGAUAUAGACCCAGACAAAAACCUUCUGACUGUUAUAUUAUAUGCUGCUAA